Molecule: ribosomal RNA, 495 nt
Filed under: uncultured bacterium
Lineage: Bacteria
Description: bacterial SSU rRNA
Rfam family: Bacterial small subunit ribosomal RNA
Source: RNAcentral
GAUGAACGCUAGCGGGAGGCCUAACACAUGCAAGCCGAGCGGUAGAGAUUCUUCGGGAUCUUGAGAGCGGCGUACGGGUGCGGAACACGUGUGCAACCUACCUUUAUCUGGAGGAUAGCCUUUCGAAAGGAAGAUUAAUACUCCAUAAUAUAUUGAUUGGCAUCGAUUGAUAUUGAAAGCUCCGGCGGAUAGAGAUGGGCACGCGCAAGAUUAGCUAGUUGGUGAGGUAACGGCUCACCAAGGCGAUGAUCUUUAGGGGCCUGAGAGGGUGAUCCCCCACACUGGUACUGAGACACGGACCAGACUCCUACGGGAGGCAGCAGUGAGGAAUAUUGGUCAAAUGGGUGCAAGCCUGAACCAGCCAUCCCGCGUGAAGGACGACUGCCCUAUGGGUUGUAAACUUCUUUUGUAUAGGGAUAAACCUACCCUCGUGAGGGUAGCUGAAGGUACUAUACGAAUAAGCACCGGCUAACUCGUGCCAGCAGCCGCGGUAAU